Molecule: long non-coding RNA, 343 nt
Filed under: Mytilus galloprovincialis (Mediterranean mussel)
Lineage: Eukaryota; Metazoa; Mollusca; Bivalvia; Mytilida; Mytilidae
Source: RNAcentral
AUUAUGCCCGUGUCACACUGUCCCGAUUUUUAUAUACGAUGGACACCCGAAUGCGAAAAUUGUAAGUUCGUACGAAGUUGGUCCCGAUCUCGUUAAAAUACCAAAAAGUGACCGAAGCAAGUACGAUGAAUAACGAAGUAUAUACGAUGGUGCCGAAAUUAUAUACGAUAGCAAAAGAUGGACAUACGAAGUUUAACCGAAGACGGGUAUUUAAGCUUCAUAUCUCAGCCGAAGCCUACACGAUGGAUCACGAAGGCUACACGAUAGAUUACGAAGGCUACACGAUGGAUUACGAUGAUGACACGAUGGCCAUACGAUGUCUAAAAGACGUCGUGUACAGCUU